GCCUGGCCCUAAAUCUUGAUACUUACCCUACCGAAGUAUCCGCCAGAGAACUACGAGCACAAACGCUUAAAACUCUAAGGACUUGGCGGUGCCCUAAACCCACCUAGAGGAGCCUGUUCUGUAAUCGAUGAUCCACGAUCAACCCAACCGCCCCUUGCCAAGCACAGCCUACAUACCGCCGUCGCCAGCCCACCUCGAAUGAGAGCGCAACAGUGGGCGCAACAGCACCCCGCUAAUAAGACAGGUCAAGGUAUAGCCUAUGGGACGGAAGAAAUGGGCUACAUUCCCUAUGCAUAGGGCAACACGGAAAGAAGUAUGAAACUGCUUCUAGAAGGAGGAUUUAGCAGUAAAGCGGGACAAUAAAGCUCGCUUUAAGCCGGCCCUAGGGCACGU
RNAcentral lists this ribosomal RNA (393 nucleotides) under Anas platyrhynchos (mallard). Its description in RNAcentral is "partial 12S ribosomal RNA". It matches the Rfam family "Bacterial small subunit ribosomal RNA", at positions 794 to 1384 of the family's 1533-position model. The record is from RNAcentral. Lineage: Eukaryota; Metazoa; Chordata; Aves; Anseriformes; Anatidae.